CAAAAGGCCCACUAGGUGGAGUGAAAUGAAUCAGGAGCGAUUAUGUUCAAUUUCACCUGUAAGUUUUCUCAAAAGGAGGAGCAUUAAGAAUCAGCCAUCUUAGUACAUACUUAAAGGAGAAGAUAGGCAUUGGACAAAACGGUCAUUCUCACGUUGACCAGGUUUCUGUUCCAGUAUCACCCUCCCAGUUCACAGGUCGAGAGGAACUGUACUUGAAGAAACAUACCUGAAGGGUCUCAUCCAUAUGUGGACCUGAUUUGGAUGACAAGAUCCUGCAUCUUGAGCCUGAUCUUGAUGCUGCCUGUGUUCUGAUGCCAUCAUGAGUUGAGAGUCUAGGGGUUUUAGAAAGGGUGAAUGUAUUUUCGCAUAGGCAAGGAACAUAAUCAAUGGCCAAAAUGUACACUGUGACAGAUUAAAGGUUGCUACAAAUUCUCUGAUACCGUUCCAUUAAGAGGUAGGGCAGAUAUUCCCUCCCCUCAAAUCUGGGUGGGCUCCAUGAUUUGCUUUGAUCAACAGAAAAUGGCAGUAGUGAUGCUGGGCCAGUUGUUGGAUCCAGGCCUUAAGAACCAACAACUUCUAUUUAAGUUCUCUUGGAGCACUGAGUCCCUGACUACCCUAAUAUCAUGUUGGAAAGGCUACAUGUAGGCACUCUAGUUGCCAGUCCCAGCCAAGACCAGCUUUUCAGCCAUCCCCAUCACUAAAUUUGUAAACGAAGCCAUCUUGGAAUCUCCAGACCAGCUCAUUUGGCAGCUGGGUAUCAUCAAGUUAUCUCUGCUGACUCCACAUGGAACAAAGGAAUCACCCAGCUGAGCCCUAUUCAAACUGUUGACCAAAAAA
This 837-nucleotide long non-coding RNA is filed under the name Pongo abelii (Sumatran orangutan). RNAcentral's name for it is "lincRNA". The record is from RNAcentral. Lineage: Eukaryota; Metazoa; Chordata; Mammalia; Primates; Hominidae.